RNAcentral lists this ribosomal RNA (552 nucleotides) under Hentzia palmarum. Its description in RNAcentral is "partial 16S ribosomal RNA". The stretch from base 169 to 459 matches the Rfam family "Bacterial large subunit ribosomal RNA", at positions 2075 to 2645 of the family's 2925-position model. The record is from RNAcentral. Lineage: Eukaryota; Metazoa; Arthropoda; Arachnida; Araneae; Salticidae.
UUAAUAGUAAAAUCUGCUCAAUGAACAUUUAAAUAGCCGCAAUUAGUGCUAAGGUAGCAUAAUAAUUUGUCUUUUAAAUAAAGACUAGAACAAAAGAUUUAACAUUUUAACUAAUUUUUUUAAGAAAUUUUUCAAAAUUUUUUUAAAGUUAAAAAACUUUAAUAUUAUAAAAGACGAUAAGACCCUAUUGAACUUUACUUAAGUUUUACUGGGGCAGUAAAUUAAUUAUUAUUUUAAUAAAAAUAUCAUGAUUAAUAGCCUUAUAUUUGAUAAUUAAGUUACCAUAGGGAUAACAGCGUAAUUAUAUUUUAAAGAUCUUAUAAAAAAUAUAGAUUGCGACCUCGAUGUUGAAUUAAUAACCUUAUUAAAGCAAAAUUUAAAUUAGGAAGUCUGUUCGACUUUUAAAAAAUUACAUGAUUUGAGUUCAGACCGGUGUAAGCCAGGUCGGUUUCUAUCUUUUUUAAAAAUUUUUGUAGUACGAAAGGACCUAAAAAUACAAUUUUAUUCAUAAAAUUGGCAGAUUAAUGCAUUAGAAUUAGAAUCUAAUAAACU